CCUACGGGAGGCAGCAGUGAGGAAUAUUGGUCAAUGGGCUUACGACUGAACCAGCCAAGUCGCGUGAGGGAAGACUGCCCUAUGGGUUGUAAACCUCUUUUGUCAGGGAGCAACGCCGGCUACGUGUAGCCGGACUGAGAGUACCUGAAGAAAAAGCAUCGGCUAACUCCGUGCCAGCAGCCGCGGUAAUACGGAGGAUGCGAGCGUUAUCCGGAUUUAUUGGGUUUAAAGGGUGCGUAGGCGGAAUGCCAAGUCAGCGGUAAAAGCACGGGGCUCAACCUCGCUCCGCCGUUGAAACUGGCGUUCUUGAGUGGGCUAGAAGUAUGCGGAAUGCGUGGUGGAGCGGUGAAAUGCGUAGAUAUUAGGAGGAACACCGGUGGCGAAGGCGGCUUACUGGACCGUAACUGACGUUGAGGCUCGAAAGCGUGGGGAGCAAACAGGAUUAGAUACCCGGGUAGGC
RNAcentral lists this ribosomal RNA (460 nucleotides) under uncultured bacterium. Its description in RNAcentral is "partial 16S ribosomal RNA". It matches the Rfam family "Bacterial small subunit ribosomal RNA", at positions 338 to 795 of the family's 1533-position model. The record is from RNAcentral.